CCAGCCGACCCACACAAGACACAUUUGAGCUCAAUUCUCCCUCUCCUCUGCUCAACCUUUCCCUCAGAUAUGCUCAGCACAGAGCGGAUUCAACACACUACAUCAGGAACUAAACACGGACCGCGAAAAGAGCACAUCACAGCGAUGGCCUCUCCUGUGCAGCUGUUCAUGAGCUUGCCUCAUCUGGACUAGCACGGACACGCACACACGCACACACCACUAAAAGCAAAAACACAUCGCCUAGCCAUGUACAGCGUGGAAGACCUUCUCAUCUCUCAUGGAUACAAAGUCCCUCAAAGGAACAGCAACAAUGUCCCUGUCUCACAUUCGUCUUCCCCCCACCCUGCAACCUAUGAGAAAUGUCUGCCGAAGCGAAGCGACAGCCGGUGUGAAAUCGCUGAGAAGCGGAAAGGACACAGCGGCGUGAAUGGCUAUGAGGGGGACCAUGUUUACAGCAGUGGAGGCAUCAGACAAGCUCCUGCCAGGGGAUUCCCCAGUGACGCCGAAAACAGGGUCAGGAAGCAGAGGACACAAAAUGUGGACAACGGUAACCUAGGAGAUGGACGUUUGCCAGAAGACAGCCUGACCAUGGACAGUGGAUGCAUAUGACCCCAGUUGUGUGGAGAGAGUCUGAUCUUGGACACUGUCAAAGCAAACUCUGGG
Molecule: long non-coding RNA, 663 nt
Filed under: Sinocyclocheilus rhinocerous
Lineage: Eukaryota; Metazoa; Chordata; Actinopteri; Cypriniformes; Cyprinidae
Description: lncRNA (ENSSRHG00000001424.1)
Source: RNAcentral